This 218-nucleotide ribosomal RNA is filed under the name uncultured Spirochaeta sp. RNAcentral describes it as "partial 16S ribosomal RNA". It matches the Rfam family "Bacterial small subunit ribosomal RNA", at positions 1165 to 1382 of the family's 1533-position model. Lineage: Bacteria; Pseudomonadati; Spirochaetota; Spirochaetia; Spirochaetales; Spirochaetaceae. The record is from RNAcentral.
GGAGGAAGGUGGGGAUGACGUCAAGUCAUCAUGGCCCUUAUGUCCUGGGCUACACACGUGCUACAAUGGCCGGUACAGAGCGCAGCGAUACCGCGAGGUGGAGCAAAUCGCAGAAAGCCGGUCUCAGUACGGAUUGGAGUCUGAAACCCGACUUCAUGAAGGUGGAAUCGCUAGUAAUCGCGCAUCAGCAUGGCGCGGUGAAUACGUUCCCGGGCCUU